GGAGGAGUUUGAUCGUGGCUCAGGACGAAGGCCGGCGGCGUGCUUAACACAUGCAAGCUCGAACGCUGAAGCCUGGUGCUUGCACCGGGUGGAUGAGUGGCGAACGGGUGAGUAAUACGUGAGUGACCUGCCUUUGACUCUGGGAUAAGCCUGGGAAACUGGGUCUAAUACCGGAUGCGACUACUGCCCGCAUGGGCUGGUGGUGGAAAGGGUUAUGUACUGGUCUUAGAUGGGCUCACGGCCUAUCAGCUGGUUGGUGGGGUAAUGGCCUACCAAGGCGACGACGGGUAGCCGGCCUGAGAGGGUGACCGGCCACACUGGGACUGAGACACGGCCCAGACUCCUACGGGAGGCAGCAGUGGGGAAUAUUGCACAAUGGGCGCAAGCCUGAUGCAGCGACGCCGCGUGAGGGAUGACGGCCUUCGGGUUGUAAACCUCUUUCAGCAGGGAAGAAGCGGAAGUGACGGUACCUGCAGAAGAAGCGCCGGCUAACUACGUGCCAGCCGCCGCCGUAACACAACC
Molecule: ribosomal RNA, 522 nt
Filed under: Rothia kristinae
Lineage: Bacteria; Bacillati; Actinomycetota; Actinomycetes; Micrococcales; Micrococcaceae
Description: bacterial SSU rRNA
Rfam family: Bacterial small subunit ribosomal RNA
Source: RNAcentral